Molecule: ribosomal RNA, 743 nt
Filed under: uncultured Enterobacteriaceae bacterium
Lineage: Bacteria; Pseudomonadati; Pseudomonadota; Gammaproteobacteria; Enterobacterales; Enterobacteriaceae
Description: bacterial SSU rRNA
Rfam family: Bacterial small subunit ribosomal RNA
Source: RNAcentral
GAUGAACGCUGGCGGCGUGCCUAACACAUGCAAGUCGAGCGAGAGUAUUGAGGCGCCUUAGACAAAUGAAUACUCUAGCGGCGGACGGGUGAGUAACACGUGAGCAACCUGCCUCAGACAGGGGGAUAACAGUGGGAAACGACUGCUAAUACCCUAUAAAAUGUAUGAAAGGCAUCUUUUAUACAUAAAAGAUUAAUCGGUCUGAGAUGGGCUCGCGUCUGAUUAGCUAGUUGGUGAGAUAAAGGCCCACCAAGGCGACGAUCAGUAGCCGAACUGAGAGGUUGACCGGCCACAUUGGGACUGAGACACGGCCCAGACUCCUACGGGAGGCAGCAGUGGGGAAUAUUGGGCAAUGGGCGCAAGCCUGACCCAGCAACGCCGCGUGAAGGAAGAAGGUCUUCGGAUUGUAAACUUCUUUGGUCAGGGACGAAAAGAAUGACGGUACCUGAAGAACAAGCCACGGCUAACUACGUGCCAGCAGCCGCGGUAAUACGUAGGUGGCAAGCGUUAUCCGGAUUUACUGGGUGUAAAGGGCGCGUAGGCGGUUUAUCAAGUCGGAUGUUGAAUCUCCGGGCUUAACCCGGAACAGUCAUCCGAAACUGGUAGACUUGAGUGUCGGAGAGGGAAGCGGAAUUCCUAGUGUAGCGGUAAAAUGCACAGAGAUUAGGAAGAACACCGGUGGCGAAGGCGGCUUUCUGGACGAUAACUGACGCUGAGGCGCGAAAGCGUGGGGAGCAAACAGG